UUUCAUUCGUAAGCAAACCUAUUUUUCAAACGUUUUCAAGUGAUUUUUCACUAAAAUUGAACUGGCUGUGAAGGUUUUUAAUUUUCGUAGUAUUGUUUAAAAAAAAUUCUUCGCAGUAAUUUGGAACGAGUAAUUCCACAUCUGACAUUGAAAACCAUCAUGUAUUCCGCGCUCUUACGAUUACGCACGAUUCCCGCAUUUUUAAAGUGUCUUGCUGUGAUUCUGGGUCUCAUUACUUUCAUAUGUACAAGAGCAAGUCCGAUACAUGGCAUUGUGGAAGAAUUUUGCUUUAUCGUUGGCGUUGUGGGAUUCGUAAUGACGUUUAUUUUUCUACUUUUAUUUGUAUUCAGAAUCGAUAAUCGUAUAACAAUUAAUUGGGCCAAAGUUGAAAUGGCUUUUGCUUUAAUUUCAUCACAUGCAUAUUUGCUGAUUUCGACACUCAUAAUUAGAGAUACAAACGAUGUUUUAAGAACAGCCGCCGUGUGUGGAUAUUUAACAAUGUUUAUCUUCAUGAUCGACACAUGUAUAAUGUAUAAACUGGUUGUUUCGGGCGUUAAUGGUUGGGGCUAUUAUUAAAAUAUUGGAAAAAUCUUUCGAUUUUUCCGAACAACAAUUGUUAGGGUUUAUUUAUUUUAAUGAAAAGGAGAUUUUAUUGGAGAGCUUUUUGAAAAUGAAAAUUAAUAUUCAGGCAAUUAACUGGUUUUGAUGUUGAAACCCUUUAACUGACAGGGACCGGUUCGCGCAUAUUUCUAUGCUUGCCUAAAUACGCUAGGUAGCAUAGAUAUGCCAAGCAUAGCCGCAAACGCCACCGACGCAUCGCCGUUCACUCUAUAUGAACAAUACAACGAACAUGUAUCCAGGCGACCGUGCAUUGAGAGACGUACGCAUACAAUAUAGCUCGAAUCGAAUGGCGACGGGUGCGUUGCAGCUUACGUCUCCGCUAUGCUUAGCAUAGCUAUCAGGCAUAGAAAUAUGCGCAAACCGGUCCCUGUUAACUGAAAUUCAAAGUAGCGAUAAAAAGCUUAAUUUUCGAUUUAAGUAAAAUAAAACACAAAUACUUUUCUGACCAUGAAA
Long non-coding RNA from Contarinia nasturtii (swede midge), 1074 nucleotides. RefSeq lists it as uncharacterized. The transcript has 4 exons. The record is from RefSeq and is a predicted model, not a curated record. Lineage: Eukaryota; Metazoa; Arthropoda; Insecta; Diptera; Cecidomyiidae.